Molecule: unclassified non-coding RNA, 243 nt
Filed under: uncultured fungus
Lineage: Eukaryota; Fungi
Description: sequence contains 5.8S rRNA gene
Rfam family: 5.8S ribosomal RNA (bases 1-53)
Source: RNAcentral
GAACGCACAUUGCGCCCCUUGGUAUUCCGGGGGGCAUGCCUGUUCGAGCGUCAUUUCAACCCUCAAGCAUUGCUUGGUCUUGGACCGUGCCGGCAACGGCUGGCCUUAAAACUAGUGGCGGUGCCAUCGAGCUCUACGCGUAGUAAUUCUAUCUCGCGUCUGGGUCCCGGUGGACGCUGGCCAGCAACCCCCAAUUUUCUAUGGUUGACCUCGGAUCAGGUAGGGAUACCCGCUGAACUUAAG